UCCACUGAGAUUCAGCCCUUU
This 21-nucleotide non-coding RNA is filed under the name Arabidopsis thaliana (thale cress). Lineage: Eukaryota; Viridiplantae; Streptophyta; Magnoliopsida; Brassicales; Brassicaceae. The record is from RNAcentral.